Molecule: small nuclear RNA, 105 nt
Filed under: Solanum lycopersicum (tomato)
Lineage: Eukaryota; Viridiplantae; Streptophyta; Magnoliopsida; Solanales; Solanaceae
Source: RNAcentral
UAAUUCAACAAAAAUACAUCGAUAAAAUUGGAACGAUACAGAGAAGAUUAGCAUGGCCCCUGCACAAGGAUGACACACACAAAUCGAAAAAUGGUCCAAAUUUUU